This is a long non-coding RNA of Aquila chrysaetos chrysaetos, 11901 nucleotides long. RefSeq lists it as uncharacterized. The transcript is spliced from 4 exons. The record is from RefSeq and is a predicted model, not a curated record. Lineage: Eukaryota; Metazoa; Chordata; Aves; Accipitriformes; Accipitridae.
UUUAUUUUGAUUUCAUAUGACUUACUUGUUCGUUUUGCCACAUUUCUUUCUUUGAUUUUGGUUGGUUGGUUUGUUUGUUUUAGCCUCCCUGGUAUUGCCCAGUAGUCAAACCCUUUUGAUUAGUGUCUCCUGUAGGUUGGGGCCCAAUAGAUCCUCAGCACUGGCUCCAAAGGUAUCUCCUGCAGCGUGACUUUUGCUUUGCUCUGUUCCGGCCUUCGUCGCUGUUCUCACAACAGGACCCCGAGCACAACGCUGCUCAGAAUUCACCUGAGGAGCCGGAACGGCAACAUCCCACCUCUCCCCCCCGGCGUGAGCUGAUUUAACGCUUCAGACCGGGAUGCGAGUGCCGGCCCGCGAGCACCUGCUGCCCGUGCGGGCUCUGCUGCGAGCAGCGGGUGCACGCGGGGCUGACGCUUACGGAACGCGCCGUGGGGACCUUCCUCUGCCAUCGCAGGCUCGCUGAUUGCUGGCUGCUCUCCUCCUACCCGAGGCAGCUUGGCCUAGGGAGGUUUCUGUUUGCCUCGCAGCAAGCACCCUUCCUUGGGUUUAUGGGAAAUGGUUUUCCCGUACUGAAACUUAACAAAUGCGGUGCUUAUUGGGGAUGUCUCUGAUGACAGAGAAGGGGUGGGAAUUUGGGGCUGUUUGCGCAAUCCUAAACAGACUCGUUCUGAAAUCUUUUUUCCUCCUUUUGCUGAAAGAAGAUUUCACCUUGAUAAGUCUAACCCUUAACUAUGGCAGACCCACCACAGGGAUGAGUGUCAUCUUUAUAGAGGAAGAAUUACAGGAAGAAUUAUGUAGUACUGCAGCUUUUCAGUGUGGUAAAUUUAAGAGACAAAUGUGGUGACAGACUUAUCAGAAACACUGGCCGAAAUGAAGCUGUUGAUCCAAACAUCCUCAUCAUCCUUUAUCCUAAAGCCAAAGCAAAAAUGAGACGUCCCAGUGGGUGUGGGCCAUGCUCUUUGCUGUGGACAAUUCAGGCACAUCUGUGUUGGACCUCAAUCCAGAAAACUGCUGAAAUUGAAGGAAAUGGGGUUGAGUGUCCUGGCUUAGAGAAGCUCAGCGCAGAGGUGAGCCCCUCUCAAGAGAGGACCAUCUAUUGAAUGGACAGUGACAGCAGGAGUCUCCAUCCCUAGGACAGGCUGUCAGCCCGCUCCUUCAGAUGGGCGAGUCCUCACAGUUGCUCUUCCUGCCGUCCAGGUCUUAAUAUGGGAAGCUGCCCCAUGUUUCCCUUUGAGCUAGUAAGUUUCUCCUAAUUUUCUUUGAAUUUUUUGAAGCGUACACUUGACUCUUUCUAAUGGAUUUAAGAAUUGAUUUGCAUUGAUUUACUGCAUGCCGUUUCAACAUGCUGUGAUAGGCAAUUCAAAUGGGCCAAGUAAAAGCCACCGCUGUGCGUGCAAGAGUGAAAACAGGAAGAGGAAGGUGCAGAUAGUGCUGUCAGCACAGUUCAUGGGAAGGAACCUUUUUUCCCUUCACUCUAAGCAAUAGGUGUUUAGGUUUUGCAUUAUCUUCCCUUUAACUCUUCCUUGUUGCUACUUAGCUGUUGUCUUUUUAUGUGAAUGAAUAAGCAGCUCUGAAGAGGAAAUAUAGCUGUUUGAUGUUGUGUUGGUUUUUUUUUUUCCUGUGGACAAAUGCCUAUGUAGAGGAGCAGUGAAGCUCAGCUUAGAUGUUAUUUUAAGCAGCUCAUUUUUGCUGCCUGACCUAUAUGACUGAGUUAAGGUCACAGGAAAGAGCAUCUUUUUUCUCAGAUUAGAUGAUGUGCUUCAUGCUUUGGGCUGAUGCUAAUAAUUUUGAUUUCUGGGACUGGAGGUAGAGAUAAAAAGGCACCUUAAUUCUACUAGUCCUUGCUAAAUCUUCUCAGAGGAAUUCGGUAAGCUCCCCCUGUAAACCGCAUCAUCCUUUGGUUUCAUCUUCAAAAGUAAGGGCAUCAACUACCCCGUGAAGGACAGCAGCACAGGGUGUUUUCCAGUAGCAGAAUGAAUACGGCAUAACUGUCAGUCCUGCUCCUUUCUGAGUUUAUACAGUACCAUUAAGCUGACUAUCAUCUCUUUCGUGAUGUUGCUUCCAGUUAUUUUGUAUAUUGGGAGUAGCUGAUAUGCUGGAGGGCAAGGCUGCCGUCAUUCAGGGGAACAUGAACAAGCUGGAAAAAUUGGAUGACAGAGGCAUCAUGAAGUUCAAGAAAGUGAAUGCAAAGUCCUGUACCUGGGAAAUAAUAACCCCAUGCAACAAGCUGGGGACUGGCUGGCUAGAAAUCAGCCCAGCCUAAAAGGACCUGGAGGUCUUGAUAGAUGUCAAGCUGAACGUGAGUCCAGAAUGUGCCACUUCAACAAUGAGAGCCAACCGCACCAGACACGGGUGCAUCAAUACCAGUACAGCCGGCAGGUCGAGGGAAGUGGUUGUUCUCCUCUGUUCAGCACUUGUGAGGCCACAUCUGGCAUAAUGCAUCUGGUUCUGGCUCCCAGAAAGUAUGAGAAAGACAUUGAUAAACUGGAGCAAUAUUUAGUGGGCAGCCACUAACGUGGUCAGGAGUUCAUAGUGUUCAAGAAAAGGCAGAGGGAGCUGGAUUUGUUCAGCUUUAAGAAGAGAAGACUCAGGUGGAAUGUUACUGGUGCCUUGAACUACCUAAUGGGGGUUACAGAGACAACAGAGCUGCUGAGAGGUGCCCAGAGAGAAAUGACAAGGGGCACCAGGCGCAACUUAUACCAGGGGAAAUUCCUAGUGUGCCUAAGGAAAAAGUUUUUCCCCCAGAGAGAGAUGCAGAGCUGAAGAGGUGCCCAGAGAGGCUGGAGGCCCUGAAUAGUAUCAAAACUUGACUGUGCAAAGCCCUGAGCAAAUUUUGAAGGUAGCCCUGCUUUGAAUGGAAUGGUUGGACUAAAUGUUCUCCCUAUUAUUCUAUGCUUCACUUUUAUUUAGUGGCCCUGUAUUUAGUCUUUUCGCAGCUCAUCAGAUUUCUCUAUCAGUCUGUUAGACAUUCAAGUUAUAGCUGUUCAUAGCAUCUUACAAAGGAAAUGUGGGUGGCCUACAACUCUUGAAACAUAGGUGUAGACCUAAGCCUGUGAACGCCUAGGUAUGUCUUCGUGCUAUGCAUUGUAUGUCGAGUCCUGCCCUCGCUGAAUGCAAUAGUUCAGUAUUCAGGGGCUUCAGAGAGGUUGGGUCUAUCGCCCUUAAUAUUUAGUUUUUAUUGACGUCAUUGGGGCUUUCUUACAGAAUAAAAAGUUAACUCUUUACAGAAAUGAGAGCUUUCAGACGUGACCCUUUGCCUUACAGCAUUGUAUGGCAGCUCCUUAAAUAUACAUUUCAUAUGAGGUGUGUUAAUUUUGCCUUGUAAUCAUAAUUACCAUUUGAUUCCCAAAACUGAUUUGGGGAAAAAAAUACCCCUGUUACCAUUCGUGUUCCCUCACUAGUGGUUCCUGCUCAUUCACUUGUCUUCCAGUACCUGCAAUAGCAGACAGAACUGUAGUACAUGUCUACUGAGGAGAUCAGAAGUAGCUGAAAAGGAGCGGGGCUGUGGAACUGCUCUGGCGAGUUCCCAGCGAGCCACCGUGCCCCACCGUGUGCCCCUGCUCCCCUGAACAACCUUCUCAUCACCUCACCCAUGCCAAACAGCAGAUUAACUGCUUGUGUGGCCCCGAUCCAACCGAAAGGGCAAAGCCCUGUGGUGAGGGCCAGGUGUAGAUGGCUGGAGGAGAGGUGGGAACACCUUCAAACUACCACAGUAGGAGAAGCCGAUGAAUGCUUUCCCACAUGGGCAUCAGUAUGCAGGUUACUGUUUCACAGCUCUCGUCUGUAUCAGACAAGCUGUCAUUUACAAAGGCAAUUAAAAAGUGCACUGCAAGAGCCUUCUUUGCUGAGUGGAGGGAGGAGAGCGCAGGCUUUUUGAGAUGAAUAUGACCAGGAGCUGUCGGGAGGUGUUGGCAUUAGUCCCCUAAUGAUGUCGGCAGGAGAGCUGCAGCAGAGGUGCCUGGAGAACAUCAGGCUGCUUAUCUCAGCUGCAGCUCAUCCUUGCUGUGAUACGGGAAAGGUCACGCUCGUGACUACUGCACCAGGCUUCCUUCGGAUCCUGCCCAGCAGCUGCGAAUGAGUAUGGAAGAAAAAAAAGAAAUGAAAGCCGAAGCCAGUAAUGAAAAGAAGGGGAAUGCAGCCGCAACGUGUUAUUGCAUUGAGAACGUGUAUGUUUGCCAGAUACAUCCUGCUCCUUUUCCCCUAGCAGAUAACCCACAGGGAAAACAAGUCUUGCUGUUGCUGUCAGCUGAUGAGGUUAUUCCUUUGGUUCUCACUGACAGGUCUGAGGCUGGAGUUCCUGGAGCUCCUCCUCACCCUUGUUCCCCUGCCAGGGGUGUAACAGUGGCUGUAAGCUUUCCUCAUUCCUGCGCUUUCCCUUAAAAGUAGCAAGGCUGAUCACAAAGAGAAAAAAGAGAGAGGGGAGAAGAUGACAGCUUUGUCGCUUUUGCUUCCUUGGUAAUGGUCUGUGAAUUUUCUUGGAGGAAGUUAAGUGACUUGGGGAUCUUAAGGGCAAAGUUUCACGAGGUCCUUACACUGAUUGUGUGCUCUGCUACCCUUUUGCAGGGCAAGGACACUCUACUUUCAUACUAACACAGCAUUAUAAUGCUUUAUAUUAGCUCACUCCAUUGCUUGGUGUAUUCGGAAUAUGCCUUUUCUAAUAAAUAGGAAAAAAAAGAAUUCAUUUUUUCUCCUCUUAGAAUUUAGAUGAUACUUUCACCAAUGCCUCUUUCAACAAAGCCAUUUUUACGUAAUAGAAAAUACCAAGAUUUUAUUUCUCUUUUAUCUGAUAUAAUACAUUUUGACUUCAUAAUAACAUGGCACAGCAGUUGCAUUUUCAAUGCCAGCACAAAUGGUACCUAUAUCAUAUUAUCAAUGAUCAUACAAUGCCUUGACACAUCUCUGUAAAGCUGAUCUGCAAUCUCAAGUAUUUUGCUGUUCCCUCAUAAGGCCUGAGGAGGAUCACAACCUAAUGGAAAUGCAUUCAAGGGAAAAGUGUUCUGGACAUCCGUUUGUUUCUUUGAACUGCAUUAGAGCACAAACGUCGAGUUAAGCUGGGAGCGGGGUAGAGCCUCCAUACCCUCCAGUCUUUGAAAUGCUUGCAAGCAAAUUGCAGUACUGAUCUGUAUAUUUUAACUGGGUCACUGAGUGAGAGCCAUUUGAAUGCUUCAUGCUCUGCAUCUUCCAAGUAAUUGCAGUUUAAGGAUUCAUUUUAAUGUUAAUUUUCCCACUUUACACGUUUGAAGCUGAGCUUGGAGUUAUGCAAAAAAGAGGCAUAUCUCAAUCUAUUUUGAAUCUGAAACCAACUUAGUGUCAGUAUAAAACCAACCCUAUGUUAUAACUUUACACAUUAAAACUUUUUACAUUAUGCUUUUGAGGCCAUGAAAGACAAGGGACUCUGCCUUUUAAAAAUGACCCCGUUUAAAAAAAAAAAUUGGUAAGAUUUCUGAAGAAGUGCAAAACAAGAUGCUGCUUCACAUAUCGAUGUCUUUGAAAUACUCGUCGUUUCAAAGCAAGGAAAAGACUGGAUGUUUACACUGCUUUAUCUGACCCACAUGCCAUCCAGCUUCUCAGUUAAUUUAGUUCUUAUUCUCUGUAAUUUAUUUUUUGCUAUUUUUUUCCAAAAUGUGACUCUUAAGGUCAGUCCUAUUACCUCUGGACACUAGGAUUGACAGGACCUUCAGGAAAAUGAAAACCAAGAGAAGUUCUGUGAUGACUGAGUGAGGUUGAAAGCAGAGAGUUGGAGCUCCUGGGUUCUUCUCCUGACUGCACCCACAGCCUUCGCCAUGAUCAGUGGGCAAACUGCUUAAAACGUCUACGCUUCAGUUUGUCUAGGUGCCUCAAGGUCUUUGCUGCCCAAAGCGGUUAGAAAAUAUUUUUCUCUCCAUAGGAAAUUCUGACUUUGGUUGGUAAAAAAAACAAAAGAAAAUGAAUUUCUGUCCAGACACUCAACUUUGUAUCCAAAAGCUGCAGCAGGCUGAGAGCUCUGGCUGGGGACCAUCAUGGCGAUGUCUCCGAAAGCUGUGACUUCAGUGCCUUGUGCCACAGUUUCCAGUACAGGUUAAGAGUCUGGGCCUGAACAAACCUCCCCUCGUUCACCGGUGUCCUGCUCCUUGCUUAGCUAGCGUGGAGUGCAGCUAGUGUGGUGCGUCCUGGCAGAUGUAAUCCAGCAGGAACCCUCAGCCAUCUGCGGCUUCAAAACUGCAGCUCCCACGAAGAAAUUUGGAAGAAUUCCCAAAUGCAUGGAUUUUUUUGCUUCUGACCAGAUAUGUUAGCAAAAUGAAUAAUCAAAAAUAUUGCUUAGUCAAAGUAGUGCCUGUCCAUCACAACUGACAUUACUGGCCCUUUAGAGAGACAGCUGCGUUUGCUCCGAGAUGGUUCUAGCCUGCAGCUAGCUAGCUGGUACUCCAGCUGCCAGCUUAGCUGGUAAGGCUCUUCCAAGCCUUGUCCCUUCCCCAACCUAAAAGGAGCGUGAGCAUCCAGCUCAGGGCUUCCUCCCCACGUUCUGUCCACAUACAAGAGAAACUGCAGCUAAGAGGAACUUUGGCAAACCUAACCUCUUGACUUCUUCCUCACAGCAACCAGCACGAGAGUUUCAGGGGCUCCGUGUCCCCUCACUACAAGACUCGGAGGCCUCCAGGGCUUGACAGCCCUGAGGGCAAUGCAGUUCCAGGUUGCGCUUUGUUGUAGGGAGUCAGGCAAAGCUCUGAGGCAGUCUUUUGCUCGGGCGGAGAUGGUUAUUCUGCUUUGCGGUAACCCUUGCAGUGUGUUAAACCCUGUGAAAGUCCAUAAGGGAGUACAGACACUGUCCCAAAAGAAGAAAGAGGAACAAAUGUCAUCAACGAAGGGGAUUUGUUAUGUAAAUAAGUGCUUUUGGCAGCUGGCCACUGGGAAAGGGUAGCCUCAGAUGCACUUGAUGGGAUGUGGGUGGAAGCGGGUCUUGAGGCCAUGGGACAGCUUUAAUGAGCAGAACUAUCGAGAGUGAGUUGAGGUGGUCACUGAUGGCAGGGACAGUGGCUGGAGGCACGAGUGGGGCUAUUGAGAUGGACAGAACGAGGGCCUGAAAAUAAGGAUAAGGAAAAAGCAGCUGAAUUAGAUUAGGGAUUCAAAGCAAAUGGCAUUCUUCAAAUGACCAGGCAGGAAAGGCAGCUUCAGAAGCAAGACAAAAUGAUAGCUGGACAGUAAAGAAGGCUAAUAAGCGAAUGAUACAGAUUUUAUUGCAGAAAUAUGCAGCAAAAGAAUUUAAUUACAGUCAUGAUUUAUUAAAAUGAGCUGGGAAGCGUCCCAGUUCAGAGUAGCUUUUUAUAGAGGAGGCAGCCCACAUAUUGCCUAUCCAAUUAGCAAGAGAGAUUUGUGGACAUAGGAUGUGGAAACUGGCAGCCACAGGGUGAAUGGAAGUGUGUCUGUAAAUCACAUUUUGACAAAUGAGGGGGAAGACUGUCUUGGCUCAUCACAACCACUCCCCUGUCUGUCUCUUUUUUCCCAAUCCAGAACUGGAGCGUUUGUCCCCUCAAACAGCUGUCCUGCCUUUGCUUCUUUUGAUGCUCUGAAGUUCAUCAAUAUUCAUCAGGGCUGGAGAGAGAGAGAGAGAGAGAGAGAGAGAGAGAAUAAUUUUCAGCAGAGGCAGCUGGGUGACUCACUGUCAACACCAAUACUGGCAACAAGGCCAGAUCUUUUGCCUUUUGGCAUCUCCCACCAUCCUACAGUAGGAAAUCUACCCUGCCACCACAGUGCUGCCGGCUGGGCUGGGGAGGUCUGCUGAGGACCGCAAGGAUUCAGACACGAUGCCCACACUGAUCCUAGCAACUCCAAAUGAGAGCACAGGAAAAUCUAAGCAAGCUUGCAAGGUGAUGGGCAGAAGCUUUAAAGGGUGUGCUGUUGUGUCUAGCUCAUUGACAAGGGAAAGCCUCCACAAGUCUUUUGAGAACUUUUCAACCAGCUAGUUGGAUUGUCUUUUUAAAUUAUUAUUUAGUUUUUAACUAGACAUUAAGUAUUUUAACCUGUGCACUGCUUUUCCAAAGUACUGGUCUGAGCAGACCAAUUCAUGUUUUCCUUGUCCUAUGAAGUGGCUUCCUAGUUAGUAUAAAGCAUCUGCACUUGUUUUAGGAUUUGCUAAUGUUGUUUAUGUGUUAUGUGCAUGCGGGGGAACACACUUAGCAUAACUGUGUUUUGGGAUGCAAGUCUCAAAGAAGCUUAAAUCCUGUUUCAAAAGUAUCACUGUCACUUGGAGCAAAGGCAGAUGUUAGGGAUCUGCAAACAUUUGCCACCCUGGGAAGAGAAGCCGUGGGAAGUGUUGGGCAGAGACACCUCGCAAGGCUCUGCAAGACAACUCUGUCUCAGCAGCAGGGCUGACAGCAGAGACCAAACCAGCUCUGAAGCUGUGGUCGUACCCACGUGCUGUGUGCCUCCGCUGAGUAGCCGUGGUGAGAUGGGAUGGUGAGUUCGGGCGCAGAAUGAUUCUGCUGAUUUUUGUAGAGCUGAUACCUACCUAGGCUGUGCCAGCCUCCUUGGAGGUGUCGCACCAUCUCUGUGCCUGCGACAGCACAGGUGACUUGUGCGUUUCUGAAAAAGAUACUUGUGGUAUUGCAUUUAGCAGUGUCAGCCCAUGUCCACAAAUCUCUUGUUUCUCAUGAUGGUAAUGCUGGCAGGAAGGAACGGCGGCAAUGGCUGUUCCCUGCCAGCCCUUUCGUUGGCGUGCCUUGGGCUGAUACUUGCAGCGGUUGCCUUCAGAUUUGGGACCUGUGACCCUGCCUAGGAUCUGGGGCUGACUGUGUGGGUGGUGGCAGGUGCUGCACACGGGUGUCUACUUAUUAGUUCCUGGGGGAUGACAAAUAACUUGGCUUUUGCCAGGUUUGGCUGUGGCAGAUCAGAAGUGAUUCCAGACCUACCAUGUCUUUUCCUUCAUUAGAUAGCCACCAGAGAAGCAAAUAUUGCACCCCACUGAGGACAAUAAAAUCCCACAGGUGAGCUGAGAGCAAGAUGGAUGCUUUUCAUUAUUUCUGUAGUCCAAGUAAAUUUUUUUUCAGGGUGCCCUUCACAUCAACCAAAUGAAGACAUUUCUUCUAUACAGUCACUGGCGCUCCAGAAAUUCUGAUUUGCUUUCUGGAGUUUCCACUGAAUUUGUGGUGGCCCUCAGGCUGUGACUCAGUGAUCUCAGGUAGAUGCUGUGGCUACCUCAGAGUCUUAAACUGUACAUUACCUAAAUACUUUCCUUACUGGACUGAAACUGUUCACAGAACAACAAUUUUUUUCUCCACUUGCAAAUCUUCAUUUAAUAGAGAUUUCCAUAAACCUGCAUUCAUAAAUGUGGAGAACGAAAUGAAACCGCAAAAGAUUAGGUACAUCCUUUUUGCAACUGUCUGGUAUUUAGGAUUCUCAUGUUGCGAAGGACAUGCAAAGCUUCUGCUUUUUUCUGUCAGAUACAUUUGCCACCAAUCCAGACUUGCUAUCGGUUUGGCACAUAAAUGUGAAACUGACCCAGCAUCACUGAGAUUUGCCUGAUUUCAUGUCUGAGUUGGACUUGCUUUUGGCAAACGGGUGCUUGCAGCUGAUCCAAAUGCAUUCAGAAGCCCAGCAGAUGCUUCUCUGAGCCUCUUCUAUGUUUAAAAAAGGAAAUGAAGCAUGAAACCAGGUGCUUUCUGUGCUGUCCUGAAUUAUGGAUUUUAUUCUUCUUGUUAAAACACAGUUUACACAUCUUCUGGUUUAUCAUUUUUGAAGAUGAUAUGGUGUAAACUACCAGGUUCUUCCUAAUAAAUGGUGGUGGGACUCCGGGAACUGCUCUCUUCUCUAAGGCUCUGUUCCAGUUCAGUUGAAUUCAACAGCAACCCCCUCAGCAGCGGGGAGCGAGUCUGUGCAUUACAAGGACCCAACACUGCAAAUAAAACUAGAAUUAGUCAUGGACUUUGCUGAAAUUCUCCACCCUGUAUUAUGCAGGAGUUCAGACAAGAUCUUAACAGUCCCUUCCAGCCAAAAUCUCAGUAAAAAAGGGACCGACAUUUUUGAGAUUAAGCAUCAGAGGACUUUUAUACAAAGAGUUUUCUGAGGAGGCAAGAAACACUUUGGUUUAGUUUUCUGGUCUGAAAAUAUCAACAAUUUGUUUUAUUUUGAAAAAAAAAACCAUAAGAAUGGUCAAGCCAUUGCCACCAUGCCUGUAGGUUUGCAGAAAUAAAGCAAAAAUGGGAUGCUGUAUCUUAGAUAUUCCAUAGGGUGCUUAGACAUAAUAAUGUACUAAUAGGUUUUGCGUUUAUCAAGAGUGAUCACCUUAAUACUGAGCUGAAAUGCUCAGUGGAGAAAAAACUAUUACUGUCAGGACUGACCUGAAUCUGGCAGGAUUCUUUGUUGUUUGUGGCUUAUAUUCUUGAAAUUGUUUUUCAGCUUCUAAAACUAUGGCUCCUCUGUAAGCUGAGUUCAGAAAAUGAAGGUCAAUAAUGGGAGAAGAAAAAACUGCUGUGACCACAUCUAAAGGCAAAAGGUUUAAACCUCUGGCUCACAGUAACUUGCAGGAAAUCCACCGUCAUUUUGUGUGCAGUGAUUAAAGAAAUCCAAAGGUUACAAGUUCCUACUGGCUGAGAAGAAAGCUGGAGUGGAAUCAGGCAGGAGAAGUCAGCUGAAACACAUGAAGGGAGUGUGAGUGGGCAUAAGAAAGCAAGAGAGACUCACCUCCCUGGAGAGAGACUCUGAAAGGAGGGAGUCCUGUGGUCCCCAUCAGCAGGAGGAGCUGAAAAUCCUGAGCUCAUACAUAUGCACUCGCCUUGGGGAAAACUGAGAAAAAUCACACAUAUGUCUCCCCAGCACAUUUCAGGCAAGCCAAGAGUUUGCAUUCACGUGGAUAAAAGGUGUAUACGUAUUGUUAGCACAUAUGGCUCACAGUUCUAACAUUGCCAGGUUUGUAGCCCCCAAACUAAUUUUGCAACACUGCAGGAACAAUGUAACAAAGCUCGAUGUGAGCUAAUAUCAGAGAGGAAGGUGAUUUUACCCAAAACAAAACAGGAUUUGCACACGCUCUCACACCCUCAUGUGCUCUUCAUCCUAUUCCAUCCCUGGCUUAGCAUUUAUUUUUCACUCCUUAUCUAUCUGGGUGAUGGCUUUGAUGGCUCUAAGCCUGUUCUUUUCUUCCUUGCAUCACUUCUCUAGGGCUUUGGUUUGUAGUCUGUCCUCUGUGUGUAGUCUGUCUUCGGUUUAGGGAUGUCCUGGUAAACUGCACAUAGAUGUGCUGGCAGCUUGAUGACCUAGGUGCCACCUGCACCUACCAUUCUCACAGCACUUCUUCUAUUGGUCCUUCUGGUGCUUCCACACCUAGAUAAUCACUUUGAUUCAUAAUGGGCUUAAUAUUUUUGUUAAAAAUUCCUUGAGUAUUGCGACAUAUUUUACAUGUCCACAACGGACUUACAGGAGUACAGAUGAGUGCUGAAGAGCAAGGAUCACUGGGGAGGGUCCAAUUUAUCCUACCACCAGUUUGGACACAUUGUCUAUGGAAACACUGGAGAGGGAAAACUGAGCACUGAAAAGCUGCUCCAAUCAUUCCCAGCUGCCUCCUCCUCCAUCCUGCUUACUCCUGACACUGGCCUUCUCAAUUGGGCUUUCAAAUUGUUUCCUUUGAGAAGCUGUACUGGGUUUUAUUGCUUUUAUUUUUAACUGAUCUAUUAGCUGUCUGCGAAUUUCUCAAACGCUUUAGGAAAACAGCAACCAGCGCAUGGUGAUGUUUGCAGGUGAAAAGCAGACCUGCAUGAUAGCUUUCCAGCUAGCUUAGCACUGGUGUUGGCUUAGGUGGUUGUAACUGCACUUGAAAACUUAUUUUUGCUUUAACACAGCUAGAGCUCCUCAGUACAACUUGGUGUAAGAGGACUAGUGAGAACAAGUAGUGUCCAGAGUGGCUGAUUGGUGCGUUGUUUUAUCUGGAGUGUU